Lophiotrema nucula is the source of this 85-nucleotide non-coding RNA. The record is from the annotation of a GenBank genome assembly. NCBI's taxonomy places the organism in Eukaryota, Fungi, Ascomycota, Dothideomycetes, Pleosporales, Lophiotremataceae.
GGGCUGGUAGCUCAGCGGUAGAGCGUGGGACUGCAGUUUGCACUGUGACAUCUUAAGGUCGUGCGUUCAACUCGCACUCAGCCCU